This 423-nucleotide ribosomal RNA is filed under the name Verrucomicrobiota bacterium. RNAcentral's name for it is "Verrucomicrobia bacterium partial 16S ribosomal RNA". It matches the Rfam family "Bacterial small subunit ribosomal RNA", at positions 355 to 776 of the family's 1533-position model. The record is from RNAcentral. Lineage: Bacteria; Pseudomonadati; Verrucomicrobiota.
UAGGGAAUUUUCGGCAAUGGGCGAAAGCCUGACCGAGCAACGCCGCGUGAGUGAUGACGGCCUUCGGGUUGUAAAGCUCUGUUGUAAGAAAAGAUAAACUAGAAGAGAAUAUUAGUUAGACAUUAUCUUACCAGAAAGCCCCGGCUAAAUACGUGCCAGCAGCCGCGGUAAUACGUAUGGGGCGAGCGUUGUCCGGAAUUAUUGGGCGUAAAGGGUACGUAGGCGGUCUAUUAAGUCAGGUGUGAAAGCGUGAGGCUUAACCUCAUUAAGCACUUGAAACUGAUAGACUUGAUUGAAGUAGAGGAAAGUGGAAUUCCUAGUGUAGCGGUGAAAUGCGUAGAUAUUAGGAGGAAUACCGGUGGCGAAGGCGUCUUUCUGGACUUUUACUAACGCUCAGGUACGAAAGCGUGGGGAGCUAACAGG